This 542-nucleotide long non-coding RNA is filed under the name Helianthus annuus (common sunflower). Lineage: Eukaryota; Viridiplantae; Streptophyta; Magnoliopsida; Asterales; Asteraceae. The record is from RNAcentral.
AUGCUACCAAAAAAGUAAAAAAGCAAUAUCUCUCUCCUACAUUAACCCUAAUCUCUUAUCUGGCUUCACACAUGUUCCAUUUUUCUCAAGUAGGAUGCUCCAAAAUGUUGCGAACGGACAUCAAUCGAAGGUCGUUUCCCAAGUUUUUGAAGAUUGAUGCUCAUCUUAAUUUAUGUGAGUCACAAAAGAAAGUCAAGGUAACAACAUGCAAGUCAUGAAACUUGAUGGGUGAAUAUGGUAGUUGCUGCCUCAUCACAGUUAAACCACCAGGCAUCUUUGUAUUCACCGCUGAUGGAACUAGCUGGUGAUUUUAGGUUUAGCGCUUUAUGCUUGCCGGUUAAUUCAGGUUCAAUGCUUCUAUACCAUCAUUGGAAAUUUCGAUUUCCGGAUUGCUAGCCAAGUAAAGAGUAAUGAAAUUAUUUGAUAAUUAGUAAUUGACGAUAGAAUUGGUCUUCCUUUUCCAUGCUUUGUGCUAAACAUGUUGCCUAAACAACCCAGUUAUGGGCUUAUCCAACUUUUUGCUUCUUAUGUUUCUUCUUGGG